This 450-nucleotide ribosomal RNA is filed under the name uncultured bacterium. RNAcentral's name for it is "SSU rRNA". It matches the Rfam family "Bacterial small subunit ribosomal RNA", at positions 26 to 518 of the family's 1533-position model. The record is from RNAcentral.
AGGAUGAACGCUGGCGGUCUGCUUAACACAUGCAAGUCGAACGGAGUAGAAAUACUUAGUGGCGGACGGGUGAGUAACGCGUGAGAAUCUACCUUCAUGACGGAGACAACAGUUGGAAACGACUGCUAACCCCCGAUGUACUGAAAAGGCAAAUAUUUAUAGCCUGAAGAAGAGCUCGCGUCCGAUUAGCUAGUUGGAGAGGUAAAAGCUCACCAAGGCGACGAUCGGUAGCUGGUCUGAGAGGACGAUCAGCCACACUGGGACUGAGACACGGCCCAGACUCCUACGGGAGGCAGCAGUGGGGAAUUUUCCGCAAUGGGCGAAAGCCUGACGGAGCAAGACCGCGUGGGGGAAGAAGGCUCUUGGGUUGUAAACCCCCUUUUCGUCUGGGAAGAACGCAAUGACGGUACCAGAGGAAUCAGCAUCGGCUAACUCCGUGCCAGCAGCCGC